GAUGAAGAACGCAGCGAAAUGCGAUAAGUAGUGUGAAUUGCAGAAUUCAGUGAAUCAUCGAAUCUUUGAACGCACAUUGCGCCCUUUGGUAUUCCUUAGGGCAUGCCUGUUCGAGCGUCAUUUAAACCUUCAAGCUCAGCUUGGUGUUGGGUGACUGUCCGCCGCCUCCGGGCGGUCGGACUCGCCUCAAAUUGAUUGGCGGCCGGUACUUUGGCUUCGAGCGCAGCAGAAACGCGAACUCGAGGCCGACGUCCUGGCUCCCAGAAGCUAUCUUCACAAUUUUGACCUCGGAUCAGGUAGGGAUACCCGCUGAACUUAAGCAUAUCAAUAAGCGGAGGA
Molecule: unclassified non-coding RNA, 339 nt
Filed under: soil metagenome
Description: partial contains 5.8S ribosomal RNA, internal transcribed spacer 2, and large subunit ribosomal RNA
Rfam family: 5.8S ribosomal RNA (bases 1-120)
Source: RNAcentral